CGGCGGACGGGUGAGUAACGCGUGGGUAACCUGCCUCAUACAGGGGGAUAACAGUUGGAAACGGCUGCUAAUACCGCAUAAGCGCACAGUACCGCAUGGUACGGUGUGAAAAACUCCGGUGGUAUGAGAUGGACCCGCGUCUGAUUAGCCAGUUGGCAGGGUAACGGCCUACCAAAGCGACGAUCAGUAGCCGACCUGAGAGGGUGACCGGCCACAUUGGGACUGAGACACGGCCCAA
RNAcentral lists this ribosomal RNA (238 nucleotides) under uncultured bacterium. RNAcentral's name for it is "partial 16S ribosomal RNA". It matches the Rfam family "Bacterial small subunit ribosomal RNA", at positions 96 to 334 of the family's 1533-position model. The record is from RNAcentral.